This 219-nucleotide ribosomal RNA is filed under the name uncultured bacterium. RNAcentral's name for it is "partial 16S ribosomal RNA". It matches the Rfam family "Bacterial small subunit ribosomal RNA", at positions 524 to 742 of the family's 1533-position model. The record is from RNAcentral.
GACAGAGGGUGCAAACGUUGUUCGGAAUUACUGGGCGUAAAGCGAGUGUAGGCGGUUUGGUAAGUCGGAUGUGAAAGCCCCGGGCUCAACCCGGGAAGUGCACUCGAUACUGCCAAGCUAGAGUAUCGGAGAGGUUGGUGGAAUUCUCGGUGUAGAGGUGAAAUUCGUAGAUAUGGGGAGGAACACCGGUGGCGAAGGCGGCCACCUGGACGGUAACUG